RNAcentral lists this non-coding RNA (562 nucleotides) under Pan troglodytes (chimpanzee). Lineage: Eukaryota; Metazoa; Chordata; Mammalia; Primates; Hominidae. The record is from RNAcentral.
GACCUGCACGAAGGCCGCCAGCGCGAAGAAGGCGGCCAUGAGUCCGUUGCAGGCCCGCCACAGGGCAGGCGCCAUGGCUCGGAGAACGCGGCGCGGGGCGGCCCCUAAGGUAAAAGCCAUGCUCCAAGUCCCCUUCUGACUUCUAGUCACUUCCGUGCUGCCAGCAGAGAGCAUGGGAUUCUUCCUGAGGAGCCUGAGUCUCAGCUUUGCCAGGUCCUUGCUGUGUGACCUUGGGCACCUGUGCUCCCUUAACAAAGAGGAAUAAAACCUCUUCAGACUACUCUCCUAUCGAUUCUCUCCUGGAACAUAUGACCACCAUCAAUUAUAGGCAAGAACAUGAACACGGGAGUCCCAAAGACUUGGGUUCAAAUGUCAGCCCCUUCACUCACUGGCUGUAGGUGUGAGGCCCUGGGUAAGGUCCUUACCUCCCCAAGUGUCUGAGCCUGUUCCCGUAUAAUGUUCACUUGCCUUGAAUAUCAUGAAAUGUACAUUAGACUUUGUAAGUAAACACCUAGCUGAGUAUCUGGAGCAUAGUAAGUGCUUAUCACACGUUCCAUGGAGU